This is a long non-coding RNA of Mustela erminea (ermine), 186 nucleotides long. RefSeq lists it as uncharacterized. NCBI's taxonomy places the organism in Eukaryota, Metazoa, Chordata, Mammalia, Carnivora, Mustelidae. The record is from RefSeq and is a predicted model, not a curated record. The transcript is spliced from 3 exons.
CACCCCAGGACCCUGGGACCAUGACCUGAGCCAAAAGCAGAUGCUCAACUGAGCCCCCCCGGCACCCCAAGAUGAGGUCUGGAAUGGAACCUGCAACAGCACUGAGGUAUGCCUGGAUCGUGACCAAGGAGAAUCGAGCCAAGGAAUACCAGAUUUAUUUAUUUAUUUGGAAAUGAGAGAGACAGU